CAGUAAAGGCGGGGGACUGUACAGCGGUAGCAUACAGUCUAUUAAGAAUCUUUUAAAAAGUUCGUUGGCUUUUCUAAGCCAAUAACCUAAAACUAUGGUUCGGUGCCGUGGAUCUGGAAAGGUCCACAACCCACUUCAGAUGAUAAUGGCAUUGUCUCAGCACAGCCAGAGUCAAGAAAACCAGAGCCACCACAGAACAAUCAAGAGUCAACUUUAUUGGCCAAGUGUGCCUAUGCACACGAGGAAUUUGACUCCGGUUCACAAUAGCUUCCAGCACUUGCAGACAUCAAGAAAUAAAUAGAACAACAACAGGACAUUGGAGGCAAAACAUGUAUUCACAACAGAGACAGUUAAUGAGGAGAGGGCAGUAGAGAGCUUGGAUGCAGAGCUAGCCGCACAUCUGCUGACGGAAGUCCAUCACACCCAACUGUCAAUGAAGAGAUGGAUACCACCAUAGAAACCCACAUCAGGUUGUCAGAGCCACAGGCCUCAGAUGAAAACAGCAGCAAAUGACCUGCCAAGCCUGUAGUGGCUUUGUGUCCCAGGCUGGAGCUUUGGCGAAGGCUUCAUAGGUAGCCUGUGUGCAGAGGAGGGCUCAGGUCUGGGUCAACUCUCACUAGCUGGCAAGUAAUUGCAUUCAACGUCAAAACUGUGUCCGCCAGCGAGCCAAAAGUCACUCCUCCCACGCACACACUGCUUACUUCCACUAGCCGGGGUGUCGCAGCUUCAGCCACUGAGACUGGGAAUAGCAGCAGUGAAACCAAAGAAGAUGCAUAUCACAAGGAUGCCUAAAGAUAUGCACCUCACCUUUGUUGGUCAAUAAAAUACUAAUUCAGCUGGUUUUAUACAUUCCAGUAUUUUCCUAUGCAGAUAAAACAAAACAAACCUGGACCCCUUUUGAUUUAGGACUUGAAUUAUUACCAUUUGUAGGCAGCUAAAAUAGUAUAAUCUGUGCUGUAUUGCUCUGUAAUGAAGAGUCAUAUCUCAUACACUGAUAUUUGUGACAAGUUUCACUCACUUCACGAAAUUUUAAUGCAGUAGUUCUUUGAAGCCUGGCAGUCGAUUAAUUCUUUUUUCAGGGGCAGUCCACUGUCUUUAAUAUCAUGUUUUACAGAGUCAAAGCAAUAAACCAUUCUCGAAACAAAUCUACAUACAACAGAGUGCCACUUUGACAGCAUUUCAGACUUCUCUGCCUACUGAAACACACACAUAAACAGGCAGAGGUUGAUUAUACACAGGUGCUCAUUAUCCAGAUGACCCACUCCUAAUUCUUCCUGCCUCCAAGCCAAGUCUAAACUACGCACUUGCUGCAGUAUGUUGUAUGAAGCAUGACACUUUUAUCUCACAGUGCUUAUGUGAAAUCUUGGAGAUGAAAAAAUGUUAAAAAAAAUUUGACAAAAUCAUAGGACUUGUAUUCCUACGUGUAUUCACUUUUGGAACUAAAAAAAAAACAUGUAUAUAUUCUCUUCACCAUUGCACUUUAUCGCUUCUUAUUUCACCUUUAUAUAGUCAGUCCUCGUGUAUAUAUAUCUGAAGAUUUUUGUGCUGUGUUAUUUUACGUAAAAUACACUGAGAGCCACGAAACGAGUCAAAUCCAUAUAUGUGCAAACCUACAUGGCCAAUAAACAUGAUUCUG
Molecule: long non-coding RNA, 1636 nt
Organism: Lampris incognitus (smalleye Pacific opah)
Lineage: Eukaryota; Metazoa; Chordata; Actinopteri; Lampriformes; Lampridae
Exons: 4
Source: RefSeq, a predicted model, not a curated record